Molecule: non-coding RNA, 177 nt
Filed under: Lactobacillus sp.
Lineage: Bacteria; Bacillati; Bacillota; Bacilli; Lactobacillales; Lactobacillaceae
Description: Lysine sequence
Rfam family: Lysine riboswitch aptamer
About the family: Riboswitches are metabolite binding domains within certain messenger RNAs that serve as precision sensors for their corresponding targets. Allosteric rearrangement of mRNA structure is mediated by ligand binding, and this results in modulation of gene expression. This family includes riboswitches that sense lysine in a number of genes involved in lysine metabolism, including lysC.
Source: RNAcentral
CAAUGCAAUAGAGGUCGCGGUUGUUACGAAACUAAUCUGAGUGAGCGAACACUUUGAAGGUUAACGUAAGAAUUACCGCCGAAACAAGGAUGUUGUUCGUUUCAAUCUUCUUGUUGGGCUGCAAGAGAAUAUUUUGCAGACUGUCCCGGUUAGUCCCCGGGGAGCGCUAUAUGAUUU